Molecule: ribosomal RNA, 905 nt
Filed under: Vibrio vulnificus
Lineage: Bacteria; Pseudomonadati; Pseudomonadota; Gammaproteobacteria; Vibrionales; Vibrionaceae
Description: partial 23S ribosomal RNA
Rfam family: Bacterial large subunit ribosomal RNA
Source: RNAcentral
CCGAGACUCAGUGAAAUUGAAAUCGCUGUGAAGAUGCAGUGUACCCGCGGCUAGACGGAAAGACCCCGUGAACCUUUACUACAGCUUGGCACUGAACAUUGAACCUACAUGUGUAGGAUAGGUGGGAGGCUUUGAAGACGUGACGCCAGUUGCGUUGGAGCCGUCCUUGAAAUACCACCCUUGUAUGUUUGAUGUUCUAACGUUGGCCCCUAAUCGGGGUUGCGGACAGUGCCUGGUGGGUAGUUUGACUGGGGCGGUCUCCUCCCAAAGAGUAACGGAGGAGCACGAAGGUGGGCUAAUCACGGUUGGACAUCGUGAGGUUAGUGCAAUGGCAUAAGCCCGCUUAACUGCGAGAAUGACGGUUCGAGCAGGUGCGAAAGCAGGUCAUAGUGAUCCGGUGGUUCUGAAUGGAAGGGCCAUCGCUCAACGGAUAAAAGGUACUCCGGGGAUAACAGGCUGAUACCGCCCAAGAGUUCAUAUCGACGGCGGUGUUUGGCACCUCGAUGUCGGCUCAUCACAUCCUGGGGCUGAAGUCGGUCCCAAGGGUAUGGCUGUUCGCCAUUUAAAGUGGUACGCGAGCUGGGUUUAGAACGUCGUGAGACAGUUCGGUCCCUAUCUGCCGUGGGCGUUGGAAGAUUGAAGGGGGCUGCUCCUAGUACGAGAGGACCGGAGUGGACGAACCUCUGGUGUUCGGGUUGUGUCGCCAGACGCAUUGCCCGGUAGCUAAGUUCGGAAUCGAUAACCGCUGAAAGCAUCUAAGCGGGAAGCGAGCCCUGAGAUGAGUCUUCCCUGAUACUUUAAGUAUCCUAAAGGGUUGUUCGAGACUAGAACGUUGAUAGGCAGGGUGUGUAAGCGCUGUGAGGCGUUGAGCUAACCUGUACUAAUUGCCCGUGAGGCUUAACCAU